This is a non-coding RNA of Neofelis nebulosa (Clouded leopard), 333 nucleotides long. Lineage: Eukaryota; Metazoa; Chordata; Mammalia; Carnivora; Felidae. The record is from the annotation of a RefSeq genome assembly.
AUGGAGUUUGUGCUGGGCUGGGUGUUCCUGGUUGCUCUUUUAAAAGGUGUCCAGUGUGACGUGCAGCUGGUGGAGUCUGGGGGAGACCUGGCUCCAGGGAAGGGGCUGCAGUGGGUCUCAGCAAUUAGUAGUGGAGGUAGCACAUACUACGCAGACUCCGUGAAGGGCCGAUUUACCACCUCCAGAGACAACGCCAAGAACACGCUGUAUCUGCAGAUGAACAACCUGAAGACUGAGGACACGGCCACAUGUUACUGUGUAGGAGACACGGUGGCCCCGAGGUGUAGGGUGCUGGUCACCCGGUACAGCCCUCUGUUCUGUCUGAUGGUCUAG